RNAcentral lists this long non-coding RNA (3176 nucleotides) under Homo sapiens (human). RNAcentral's name for it is "HSALNT0159518". The record is from RNAcentral. Lineage: Eukaryota; Metazoa; Chordata; Mammalia; Primates; Hominidae.
AGACUGUCGAAAAUUAAAUACUACUCAAACCAAAUUUUGUCAAAGAUGUCAGGCAACAGCAACUGGCAUAGGCUACUGAUAGGAACAUGAAAUGUUAUAACCACUUUGUAAAACAGCAUGGUAGUUUUCUAAAAGUGUUAGACAUACAUGGACCAUGUGACCUAGUCAUUCCAAUCCUAGAUAUUUGCCCCAAGGAAAUAAAAAUAUGUUCACAAGAAGACUUGCACAUUAAUGUUCAUGAUACCUUUAUUUGUAAUAGCCAAAACCAGGAGAUAGUAAAAUGUUCAUCAACAAAUGAGCAGAUAAGCCAACUGUGGUCCAUCCAUAUAACAUAAUUCUACUCAGUAAAUAAAGGCAUAAACUACAGAUACACAAUCAACAUGAAUGAGUUUUAAUAUUAUUAUGUCGAGCAAAAGUGCAAGACAAGAAAUGAGUACAGACAGUAAGAUUCCAUUUAUAUAAAAUUCUAAAAAAUGUAAACAGUCUAUAGUGUAAAAAUGUAAAUGUCUAUAGAAAAACAGAUUAGGAAUUUUCUGGGGACGAGGGUGGGAUGGACAGGGAGGAAGAAGAGGGAGGGAUUACAAAGUAGCACAAGAAAACAUUUUGGGGUAAUGAAUAUAUACAUUGUCUUAAUUGGAGAGACGGUUUCAUGGGUAUAUGCAUGUACAUAAAUAUGUGCCAUUUAUUACAUGUCAAUGACAUGGGAUAAUACUGAUUUUUCUUUUCAUUUUAUAAUUGCAUAAUGGAAAUAAUAUUGGCUUUAGAGUCAGACAUAUGAGUUGAAUACUAGCUCUGCUCUUAUAUAUAAUGCAACCUUAUAUAAGUUACUUACAAUUUUGAGUCAGCUUCUAUAUUUAUUUAUGUAGUAGUAAGAAUAUCAUAUGUGAGUAUAAGAAUAUAUAUGUCAAAGGCUUGCUGUAUUAAAUAUAAUAACAUGUAUAUUUUUCUUCUUUAUCCCUAAACCCACUCCGAUUACCCUCUUCUUAAUGGGUACCCUUCUUGUAUUUGACACGUAGCCUUGAAUAUGUUUGUAUGUAUGCAUGCAUACGCUUUAAAGUAAUUAAAUGGCAUUGUGCUAAAGCUUUUGUUUUCCCUUUAUGCUAAAUUUAAAGGACAUACCCUUAUUUCUGUAUAUAUGUCCAGUAAGUUGCUUCUAACUGCUGUAUCAUAUUCCACACUAUGGAUCCAGUCAAGUUAGUUCACUGACUUCCGAAGAGACAGAUAUCUGUGAGUCCAAUUUGUCUACUUACUACCGCAAACCAUAAUGGAAUAAAUACCUUAAUACUUGUUUUUUUGUGUGGAUCAGAACAGGUCCUCUUGGCUGUAUAUGCAAAAGUGCAAUUACUGGACUAUAGGACAGACAUAUGAUGAAUUUUACUAACUCAGUACUCCUAGGUUACUGGUAAAUUUGAGUAUCACUUCCUAUUCUUAUUAGCUACUCAGCUUUCCCCUUUGUAAAUCACAUUCUUAUCUUUUGUUCAUUUUUAUAUUGAGUUUCCUGUCUUUUACUUGUUGAUUUACAAUUCCUUGGAAUGUCUCUCUAUUAAUGUCAUUAAUUUUAUGCAUUACUAAAAGCUAUUUCAGUCUGUCCCCAGCCUAUUAACUUUAAGGUGUCAUUCACUGACUAGAACUCUUUCAUUUUAAUACAGUCAUAGCCAUCCUUUCUUAACCCAACUAUUUAAAAAGAUAUUUUUGGGUCAUGUUGAAGAAGUACAGUUCCUCACCUGUAUCUCAAACAUAAUUCUCCUACAUUUUCUUCUAUGAGCUUUAAAGUUUUCUUUUUAAUCCAUCGUUUUCAUCCCUCUGGAGCCCAACUUUUUAUAUGGUGCAAUGUAGGCAUUUAUUUUUCUCCAUAGAGUGAGCCAAUGUUUCAAUAUUAUCUGCUAAAGAGUUUGCCCUGUCUCCAUUACAUAAGUAGCGCAUCUUUAUCAUAUAUCACCCACAUUUUUUUUAUAAAAAGAAGAAUGCUUCUGGAAGAGUGAUGACCCAAAAUAAGAAAGACCAUGAGAAAUAUUCUUGCCUUUCCACUCUCAGGAGGGUACUGGUGACACUGUUCCUCGCUAUGGGAUCAGCCUUCUGAAGCCACAUGUAAAUAGGAAAUCUUCAACACUCCUAGCAGCCUCAAGUGGAUUUAUCAGAUCAAGUGCAUCAGAUAUAUCAGAUGAAUUCCUACAAUGCCUUCAAUUUUUAAUGGCAUAAUAAUGUGUUUCCAUGUCAUGUUAGAUAAAUAAAAUGUCUUGAAGAUCACAAUAUAUUAUAUAUCACAUCUUAACUAUACUUCUGCAGUAGCUGUUUAGGAUGUUAGUGGACCUGUUUUCCACAAAAUUUUCCACUUUUCCCAAAGCUUCCUAAUUCAUGGAGUGAUUUACGGUACUUGACAUUACAUAAUACUUAGCUGGUAAAUUUUUUAUAAGCAAGGAAAAAUUUAGGCAAACACAGGUCUGAUUUGCUGCUUAAUUCUGUAUUCUACAGAGAGUCCUCAAAAAAAGACUUUUUGACUGAUUACCUGGCUGAGAGCCCACGCAGUUACUGGGUUAGGACUUACAUGAAGAAGGAAAUAUCCUUUAGUGAAAGCCAUGAUCUAUUUGUCAUUGCCUUUUGUUCCAAGGGAAAAGCACCAGAGACUUCAAGGAUGUUCGAGGAUUAUUACACUGCGCAAAAAUUAACACUAUGCAAUUGAUCAUGAAGCCCUUUGCAGGGACCACAGAGUACUAUGGACUAUAUACUUAAAUGAAUAUUUCUGCCUUGCCUUUGGAUUUGGCUGAAAAUUAUAUUGGAAUCUUGUUAUUCUGUUUCAUUGCUCAAUGAGGCUGAACAACAAGUGGAAAAUAGAAUCCAGCAAGCUAGUAUUUCUCUUAGAAACUGGUAGUAUGCAGCGUUAUGAGCUAGAAUCCUAACUAAAGGGCUACUUUUUUUUUUUCUUUUUUGAGACAGGGUCUCACUCUGUCACACAGGCUAGAAUGCAGUGGUAAGAUCACAGCUCACUGCAGCCUCUACCUCCUGGGCUCCAGUGAACCUCCCUCCUUAGCCUCCCAAGUAGCUGGGACCACAGGUGCACGCCACUAUGCUCAGCUAAUUUUUUUGUUUUUUGUAGAGAAGGGUACUCACUAUGUUGCCCAGGCUAGUCUCAAACUCCUGGCCUCAAGUGACCCACCCACCUUGGCCUCCCAAAGUGC